AUAAUGCUUCAGGGCGGGGCGAAAUUCCCCACCGGCGGUAAAGCCCGCGAGCCGUAAGGCAUGAACUGGUGAGAUUCCAGUGCCGACAGUAAAGUCUGGAUGGAAGAAGUUGAAU
Molecule: non-coding RNA, 115 nt
Organism: Coprococcus comes CAG:19
Lineage: Bacteria; Bacillati; Bacillota; Clostridia; Lachnospirales; Lachnospiraceae
Source: Rfam